Molecule: long non-coding RNA, 299 nt
Filed under: Physcomitrium patens
Lineage: Eukaryota; Viridiplantae; Streptophyta; Bryopsida; Funariales; Funariaceae
Description: long non-coding RNA (PPAT_LNC009331)
Source: RNAcentral
UGUAAUCUCCGAAUGCCUUCUUUGAAGUCGCCGAAACUCUUGUUAAGGUUGUGGGCAGCCUCUUCAAAGCCCAUUGGGCAUGGUAUUCCACCAAUAGGGAUGAAGUUCCCCAUUCUUUGCCUUCAUCCGACCAUGCCUUGCUUUCAUCCCUUCCAAUUAGCCUCCUACUAGUUUAGAUUUUCAUCCUUAGGUUUCCACCUUCUCCCAAAGCUUCAUACUAAAUAUUUAGAUCUUAUAUAUAUAUUAAUGUCAAAAUCAAAAGAAGUAAAGAAACAAAGUAAAGUUUCUUAUAUCAACUC